RNAcentral lists this ribosomal RNA (253 nucleotides) under uncultured bacterium. Its description in RNAcentral is "partial 16S ribosomal RNA". It matches the Rfam family "Bacterial small subunit ribosomal RNA", at positions 524 to 776 of the family's 1533-position model. The record is from RNAcentral.
GACGUAGGGGGCCAGCGUUGCUCGGAAUUACUGGGCGUAAAGGGUUCGUAGGCGGUGCGGCAAGUCGGUAGUGAAAUCUCCAGGCUUAACUUGGAGGCUGCUGCCGAAACUGCUGUGCUAGAGUGCAGGAGAGGCGAGUGGAAUUACAGGUGUAGCGGUGAAAUGCGUAGAUAUCAGGAGGAACACCGGUGGCGAAGGCGGGUCUCUGGGCAACUACUGACGCUGAGGAGCGAAAGCGUGGGGAGCGAACAGG